This 3165-nucleotide ribosomal RNA is filed under the name Triticum aestivum (bread wheat). RNAcentral describes it as "partial small subunit ribosomal RNA". The record is from RNAcentral. Lineage: Eukaryota; Viridiplantae; Streptophyta; Magnoliopsida; Poales; Poaceae.
AUGCAGACACUCCAUUUCUCCAGCAAGAUACUGGGCAUACCUUCCCUUGGCCUUGCUCUUGUGCUGCUGUUCUGCUUGGCCACUCCAACCAGUUGCUGCACCCAGCAGGAGAAGGGCGCCCUUCUCCAGUUCCUCGCCGAGCUCUCACAAGACAGUGGCCUCUCUGCGACAUGGUGGAAUGGCACAGAUUGCUGCAAUUGGGAAGGGAUCACCUGCAGGCAAGAUAGGACGGUCACCCAUGUCUUGCUGCCUUCAAAGGGCCUCGAGGGGCGCAUCUCACAAUCUCUUGGAAACCUUACUGGGCUGCAGCACCUUGAUCUCUCUGACAACUCGCUGUCAGGUGGUCUGCCGCUGGGAUUGGUGUCGUCCAGCAGCAUUACUACACUUGAUGUUAGCUUUAACCAGCUCAAUGGGACACUCCAAGAGCUGCUGUCAUCUUCAACCCCUGGCGGGCCUCUGCAGGUACUAAACAUCUCAAGCAACUUAUUUGCAGGACAGUUUCCAUCCACCACAUGGAAAGCAAUGGAGAAUCUGAUCGCACUCAAUGCCAGCAAUAACAGCUUUACUGGGCAGAUACCAACUCGAUUAUGUAGCACCUUGCCAUCCCUCAAGGUGCUUGAUCUGUGUUUCAACAAAUUCAGUGGCAGCGUACCCCCAGGACUUGGUGAUUGCUCCAAGCUAAGAGAGCUCAGGGCUGGGUAUAACAACCUCAGUGGAAGACUCCCAGAUGAACUAUUCAAUGCAACCUCGUUGGAAUACCUGUCUUUCGCAAACAAUGGUUUAUAUGGAGUUCUUGAUAAUAAGCGCAUAGUCAACCUCAGAAAUCUCGUAACCCUUGAUCUUGGAGGGAACCAAUUCAGUGGAAAGAUUCCAGAUUAUAUAGGUCAACUCAAGAGACUGGAGGAGUUCCAUUUGAACAACAACAACAUGUCAGGGGAGCUGCCGUAUGCUCUGAGCAACUGCACAAAUCUCAUAACAAUUGACCUCAAGAGCAACAAACUCGGUGGAGAACUUAGCAAUGUCAAUUUCUCCAACCUGCCCAAUCUGAGAACUUUAGAUCUUUGGUCCAACAACUUCACCGGUACAGUUCCAGAAAGUAUGUACUCAUGCAGUAACCUGACUGCGCUGCGGCUAGCUAACAACAAAUUAUAUGGGCAGCUCUCAUCGAGAAUAGGCAAUCUGAAGCACCUGUCCUUCUUGUCACUUGGUAAAAACAAUUUCACAAACAUCGCAAAUGCGCUUCAGAUCCUUAAGAGCAGCAAGAACCUUACCACCCUGCUUAUUUCGUUCAAUUUCAAGGGAGAGCUCAUGCCAGAGGAUGACAGAAUUGGUGGUUUUGAUAAUCUUCAGGUCUUGGACAUGGAUGGUUGCCAAUUAUCUGGAAAAAUACCUGUAUGGAUAUCAAGAUUGACACAACUGAAGAUGUUAAUUUUAAGAAGCAAUCAACUCACUGGACCAAUACCGGACUGGAUCAACUCCUUAAGCCGUCUCUUCUAUAUAGAUGUGUCAAACAACACUCUUACAGGAGAAAUCCCCUUAACAUUCACGGAGAUGCCAAUGCUAAAAUCAACUGACAACACAACUCAUUUGGACCCAAGGGUCUUUGAGCUGCCUGUUUAUACUGGCCCAUCACUUCAAUACCGUGUGGUUACAUCUUUCCCAACAAUGUUGAAUCUAAGCAACAACAAAUUCACAGGUGUGAUCCCCCCACAGAUUGGUCAGUUGAACUUGCUUGCUGUACUUGAUUUCAGCUUCAACAAGUUAUCUGGACAGAUCCCCCAAUCGAUUUGCAACCUCACGAACUUGCAGGUGCUAGAGUUGUCCAGCAACAAUCUCACAGGUGCUAUCCCAGCUGCAUUGAACACCCUGAACUUCCUUUCAGAAUUCAACAUUUCAAACAAUGACCUAGAAGGACCUAUUCCAUCUGGAGGCCAGUUUAAUACAUUUCAGAAUUCUAGUUUCAAUGGGAAUCCAAAGCUGUGUGGCUCUAUGCUCACUCACAAAUGCAGUAAAGAUUCAAUAUCUCAAUCCUCCAGAAAAAAACGAGACAAGAAAGCUGUUUUUUCGAUUGCAUUUGGCGUGUUCUUCGGAGGCAUUGCUAUUCUUUUGUUGCUGGCGCGUCUCCUUGUCUCAAUUAGGCAGAAGGGUUUUACAGGAAAAAAUAGAAGGGAAAGUAAUGGAGAUGUUGAAGAACCUUCAUUCUACUCCAGUUCAGAGCAAACAUUAGUUGUGGUGCGGAUAGCACAAGGCAAGGGAGUAGAAAACAAGCUCAAAUUCGCUGACAUUUUGAAAGCUACGAACAACUUUGAUAAGGCAAACAUCAUUGGAUGUGGAGGUCAUGGAUUAGUCUACAAGGCAGAGCUAUCUGAUGGCUCCAAGCUGGCAAUCAAAAAGCUCAAUGGUGAAAUGUGUCUAAUGGAAAGGGAGUUCAGUGCAGAGGUUGAUGCACUCUCCCGGGCACAACAUGAAAAUCUUGUACCACUGUGGGGUUACUGCAUCCAGGGAAACUCGAGGUUUCUCGUAUAUUCCUACUUGGAGAAUGGAAGCCUGGAUGAUUGGCUCCAUAACAGGGAUGAUGGUGCUAGCUUAUUGCUUGACUGGCCUACUCGGCUCAAGAUCGCACAAGGAGCAAGCCUGGGCCUUUCUUAUAUCCAUGAUGCCUGCAACCCUCAAAUUGUCCAUCGUGACAUCAAAUCUGGUAAUAUCCUACUGGACAAAGAAUUUAAAGCUUAUGUUGCAGACUUUGGGCUAGCCAGAUUGAUCCUUCCCAACAACACCCAUGUCACAACGGAGCUGGUAGGUACUAUGGGUUACAUCCCACCCGAGUAUGGGCAAGCAUGGGUUGCUACGCUGAGAGGUGAUAUAUACAGUUUCGGAGUAGUGCUGCUUGAGCUGCUCACAGGAAGGCGACCUGUUUCGGUAUUUUGUACACCAAAAGAACUUGUCCCAUGGGUUCUACAGAUGAGGUCUGAGGGAAAGCAGAUUGAGGUCCUGGAUCCAACACUUCGAGGAACAGGGUAUGAAGAGCAAAUGCUGAAGGUGCUUGAAGCCGCUUGCAAGUGUGUUGACCAUAAUCAAUUCAGGCGGCCAACUAUCAUGGAAGUAGUCUCCUGCCUGUCCAGUAUAAACGCUGAUCCAGAGAUGCAAAGAUCAGCCAACAUAUAG